GAGAGGAUAGUUUAAUGGUAAAACAACGGUUUUCAAAACCGUAGUUAGGGGUUCAAGUCCCUUUCCUCUUG
RNAcentral lists this transfer RNA (71 nucleotides) under Legionellales bacterium. RNAcentral describes it as "tRNA-Sec". It matches the Rfam family "tRNA". From Rfam's summary of the family: Transfer RNA (tRNA) molecules are approximately 80 nucleotides in length. Lineage: Bacteria; Pseudomonadati; Pseudomonadota; Gammaproteobacteria; Legionellales. The record is from RNAcentral.